Molecule: ribosomal RNA, 492 nt
Filed under: uncultured bacterium
Lineage: Bacteria
Description: partial 16S ribosomal RNA
Rfam family: Bacterial small subunit ribosomal RNA
Source: RNAcentral
AGUGAACGCUGGCGGUAGGCCUAACACAUGCAAGUCGAACGGCAGCACAGUAAGAGCUUGCUCUUACGGGUGGCGAGUGGCGGACGGGUGAGGAAUACAUCGGAAUCUACUUUUUCGUGGGGGAUAACGUAGGGAAACUUACGCUAAUACCGCAUACGACCUACGGGUGAAAGCAGGGGAUCUUCGGACCUUGCGCGAUUGAAUGAGCCGAUGUCGGAUUAGCUAGUUGGCGGGGUAAAGGCCCACCAAGGCGACGAUCCGUAGCUGGUCUGAGAGGAUGAUCAGCCACACUGGAACUGAGACACGGUCCAGACUCCUACGGGAGGCAGCAGUGGGGAAUAUUGGACAAUGGGCGCAAGCCUGAUCCAGCCAUACCGCGUGGGUGAAGAAGGCCUUCGGGUUGUAAAGCCCUUUCGUUGGGAAGGAAAAGCAGCAGGUUAAUACCCCGCUGUUCUGACGGUACCCGAAGAAUAAGCACCGGCUAACUUCGUG